This 9519-nucleotide long non-coding RNA is filed under the name Glycine max (soybean). RNAcentral describes it as "long non-coding RNA (GMAX_LNC004033)". Lineage: Eukaryota; Viridiplantae; Streptophyta; Magnoliopsida; Fabales; Fabaceae. The record is from RNAcentral.
AACGGUUAUCCUGAACAUGAAAACGAGAAAAAUGGCCCAUGCGGCAAGUUUAGCACACUUAGAAUUUUGACGCAUAAACUGCGUCACUGCGAAAAGGCUGCACGAGAUGCGUGGGCUCCUGUUUCUUCACAGUGCUGCAAUGACCUUGUAGAAGUAAGCAUCCCUUGCCUCUAUGCUGUUUUCUCCUCUGAUGCUUUCAAGAGAGUUGGUGUUGAUCCCAGAGUCGCAAUCACUAUUCCCCAUCGUUGCCAUUUCGCCAACAAGCCAUAGACCACAACUUACCUACCUAUCAUAAAUGAAAACAUAUUUUUCAGGUAUAUAUAUGAGCAUAUAUCUAUCAAGAAUAAUUAUUUAUAUUUCAAAAACUUUAUCUAGAAGCUGAUAAAUUGUUAUAUUUCUAUACUGAACUAAUUAAAUUCAUCACAUUUUUGGCUGUUAUAAAGUAGCAUAUGCUGAUUCAUUGUUUUCUCUAAUGUAAUUGCAGCUUGUAGAUGGCUGAGAACGUUGGUUAUGGUUACGCAACCUGAGGUUUUUACAAUUCGUCAAAGCUUCAGGAUACAGUAGUCUGUGUUGUGUACUGUAUGUUUGUUGUCCGUUAAUAAUUUGAGCUUGUUAUCAAGGCUCACAAAUAAAUUACCUUGUAAUGUACAAUUUUAUUCUCUAUCAAAUAAAUUCACGUUUUCUUAAAAUAUAUCUUUUUGGUUGUUUCGAAUUUAAUUUUAUUUGGAUGAAUUGGUGUAUCUUAGAGAAUAUGAGUGUGUUUGAGUAAACUAUGGAAAAUCUUAAAAUUUAAUUUGUUUGCAAAUGAAUCUCGACCCUAUGUUUGUGUAAACAUUGGUCCGUUUGAUGUGUGCAUUAGAACAACUAUUAUAGUAUAUUCCACAACAACUCAAACAUGUAUUACAUUCAUUUUCCACAACAACUCAAACAUAUAUGCACUACAUUGUUGGUUUGCGACUGUGCUGAGGACUUUCUGCAUUGAACUAUUCACCAUAUAGUUUCCUCGGCCUAGCUGCAUAAUCUUGUGCAUAUUAUCAUUCAGUGUAUAGAUAAUUUUUAGUUUUACUAUUAUUUGGUGGACUCUGCAAUGUUACAUGAGAUUUAAGAAUUUUAAUAAGUAUUUUCUCUUAUGAUACAAUUUUUAAAAACUCAAAAUUGCAUUUGAUAAUUAUCUAAUUAACAAUUCAAAAGAACUUUGAAGGAUAGUUGUUUAUACAACUAUUAUUUACAUGUCGAUUUUUCAACAAUAAAAUUGUAUAAGAACUUAUUCUUAAGUUUAAGAAUCCUAUAUACAAGGAUAUAUGCUCUAUGUUCUUAACUUUCCCACUAAAGAUAACAACUAAGAUAAUAUGACUUCGCUAGCUGUCCAAAAAAAAAAAAAAAGAUAACACCAUGAUGACUUCAUAAAUAACAAAUAAGAUAACAUGAUUUGAUUAAUUACAGAAUAACUAAUUAUAGAACCACAACAACGACGAGUCUUGUCUUACCCAACGUUGAAAUGGACCAAAACAACGACGGGUCUUCGCCUACCCGUCGUUGAAAUGGACCCCAACAACGACGGGUUCUUCAACAUGUGCAUUGUCGAAUCAUUUUUUAAAACGUCUGUUGUUAUAUAGGCAUUGACGUCUGACGUUGUAUUCUGACCUUACAAAGAUGGGUCCUACUAUGAUCAAUGUCGUUGUUGUCGACAUACAACGACAUCUGGAACAAAGACGGUGUGGGGCCCGUCGUAGAUACUGGUUUUCAACCGAUGUAGAAGCUUCUUUUUGUAGUUGUGCCAGGAUCGACUAUCCUGUUAAUUAACAAAUCUUUUAGACUUUUACAUCAUGAUGAAGUAGUAAAGUAAAGUGAAAGUAGGUAGAAUUUAGAUUAAAAUUUAGGGGGUGUAAAAAAAGAAUAUCUUCUCGCUUUAAUAAUUAAUAAUGUAAAUUGAAAAUAAUGUUGCUUGAUACUACCAAAAAAUUUAACUACCAGAAAAAUAUUUUCUUCCCAAGCUUGACUUGAAAAUGGUGAAAAGAUAAUGUUAAAGUGUUUCACUUCGUCUUGUUUUCUUUUUCUGUUUGUUUUUUAUCUUCAAGAUGUGUUAAAAGCUAAAUUAUGGCCCCUUAUAUAUUAUCUAAAUUAUAUCUCAAUCAAUACUUGUUUUUCUAAUGGUAUGGUUAUGGUUGUUGAGAGUUUUAGCAUUUUUCUUAUUAAAGGUAAAAAUUUUAUUUAGACGUUGAGUGUAAAUAAAAAAAAGGAAAUGGAGAGGAUAAAGGUAGGCUAAAAUUUUUAAUAUUUGUUUGAAAGAAAAAAAAAAGGUAAGGAGAAAUUUUUUUGGGGACAUAAAUCCGACCCAUCCCCCCUCCCCCGGGAGAAAAGUUUUUUUUCUUUUUUUCCAAUAAACGUGAUUGUUUCCAAUUUUCAUUGAGUGUGAUUCAAUCGUGAGGAUUGAGGAGCUCAAGAAGCAACAAGGAGAGGUGACAAAGUGAAGACUAGCAUAUAAAAGUAAAAAUCAUGAUUAAAGAUUAAGGAGUUUGAAUUUUAUAUUUGUAUUUUGUAAAGUUAAGGAGACUUACAACAAAAAGUAAAUUUUUUUGUUAUAUAUAUAAAAUUAGAAAAACAGAUAAAGCAAUGGAUAAUUUGUUCCAUGGGGUGUGAGCUUUGUCAUUUACAAGAUUUCAAACUAUAGGAAUUAAAAAAAUAUUAAAAUAUAAAUUAUAUAAAUUAAAAAAUCAGUUUCAAACUAUAAAAAAUAAAAGAGAAUUAAAAUCUAAAUGAUAAAGAUUGAAAAACACUUUCAAAUUAUAAGAACUAAAAGAUAUAAAUUAUGAAACUAUAGAAAACAAAUGAGUAACUAAACCUAUUUAUUUUAAGUGUAGAUGCAAAGUAACUUAGUAAGUUUCAGGGGACGAUUGCCCCUAUAUUGAAAUAUGUAAUUUGGGCCCUCCUCGAACUAGAUGAUGAUAUGUUGUAUAUUAUUAACUAAUUGGUAAGUGCACCAAUUCAUCCAAGCAGUAAAGUAAAACGGAAAUUCGAGUGUUAGAGUCCACAAGGAUUUUGUUUGUACUUGGAGUUGUGUCUAUCCAAUUUUCAAGCAAUAAUUGAAUUGAUUUAAAUAAUUGUGAUACGAAAUAGCAAAAAUAAAUUGACAGAAAAUUAAAAUAAUUAUCUAGCACGUGCAAGGGAAGAACAACAAACACUUGAAGCGGUAAAAUGAGGACUGAUACAGAAUACGAAUGUGUUGGAGUUUAGCCUACCAAAACUAUUCUUGAUGUAAUGUUAAUGAUUUUUCUCUAUUUAAUAUUAAUCAAAUUAUCACCUACAUCUACUCCAAUCAUGAUUCCUCAUAAGAAACAGUUUAUUUUACCUAAUUUCUCUCCUAAUUCCUUAAGAGAAUAAACCGGUUAAAUUAUAUUAUUAGUAGAGAUGCAUACAACAUGCUAAAUAGCACCAAUCUAUCCCUAGAGAUGAAUUAUUUGGAAGCCAUUUUCCAGUCCUUAAGAGAUGAACAUUUUCCAAUGCCUAAACCCUCAAACAUAGCAUGAAUAUGGGUGAUCAAACCACACACAUGAGAAUAAACACAUAAAAGAGAUAAUGAAAUUGAAAUAACAUUAAAUAGAUAGUAAGAGUCUUUACAUCAAGAGUGUUUGGUUGUUAAACUCCCAACAAUAGGUGAUUCAGUCUCUCAUUAUCAUGAAAGACUUUACAAUUGCAAGAGGAUGAUGGAGAGUAAAGAAGAAUGGAGAUGGAGGAAAGGAAUGACUCCUAAUGAUUGAUUUCUCUUAUUCCUGCACGAACCCUAGCCUUUGCUCUCCGUGAAUCUGAAUAAUUUGGUGAAUGACUGAAUAAUAUGUUUCCACCUUCCUUUUCUCCUUUAAAACAUAGCUCUGUUCUGUUAUUUUUUGCGACCUCGCGCUAAGUAGGAUACUCACGAUAAGCGAAGAGUAAGUGGUCAUGCGUUAAGCGCGCCUUCACUGAUAUCAGGUUUCUCCAUGUGACUUCUUUGUACAAAACGAGUAUUGCCCCGCUGAGCGAUUGCAUCGUGUUGGGCACAAAACGAGAGUUUCCCUAUCUUUAAUUUCUCUUCCAUGCUUUAUUUUGUGUUUCUACAACAAAUACACCACCAAAACAGUAUAAAUUCACCAAUUUAAACACCUAUUAGACAAAAACUUGGAUGAUGUCGAAAUUCUAAUUAUUCACACAAAAAGAAGUAAUAAAAAAGUAAAAUUUGACAAUUUUUAUUAACUUAAUUACAAGAUAUACUUAUGCACGACCGUUAUCAUAUAUCGAUUGUUGUUUUGCAUAAACCACACUAGAUUCUUGUUUUCUAAAUAUACAACAAUAAAACCUUAUUCUUAACAAAAAACAAAGAAGGGUGUUGGAAUUAAAAGGGCAACCAAUCAGAUUUUGUCUAUAUUUUUAUGCAUUUAAAUUCAUACAACUAAAAUUUUUUCUUGAUUUAUUGUGACCUUUGUAUAAUUUGUUAUAAAUUUAUUUAAAUAAAUCUCAGAAUUAAAUUUAUAAAUAAUGAAAUUCUCUUAUGAAAAACAUCCUCCUUAAACAAACAAGCACAUUUGAGAUAAACUUAAGUUUUCAAGACUAGUUUGACUUCUGUGACAACCUCCGAACCUCCUUCAUUAUUUAUCUUAUUAAUAAACCAUGGACCGUCUAAGUAUAGCAUGACGUUUCACAAAAUAGCAUCGUUGAAAAAGUAUUUAUUUUUCGAUUCUUUAUAUAUAUAUAAGAAGAAAGCCUCCAUAAGUAAGACAUAUAGGCUGUUGAGUAAGAUAUUGUAAUACCAACUACGUACCAAGGCUGUGCAGUGCUUCCUGAUUCAAAAUAUUCUCCGGCCUGCUUUCUUCUCUACGGUAAGAAUCUGCGGGCAUGAAGCUGUAACCCUACCUUCUCCCAUCAAUUUAAAGAAUGCCAAAUCCAGAUGCUUGUGAACAAGGUUUUGUGCAUAGUUUACUAGUUUAUCUUGCUAAUCUAGCAGUAUAUAUAGAGCAUGGUGCAAGGCAAUUUUUGUGAGUUGUAUUUCAAGCUUGAAGCUACUUAAAAAGAGUAAAUCAUCAAUCAAAUUCAUUUAGUUAAGAUGAGCAAGUUCGUUGGUGUGUUCCUGCUGCUUUUGAUCACUGUGACCGUUGCUGAAUACGACCACAGUUAUCCUGAACAUGAAAACGAGAAAAAUGGUCCAUGCGGCAAGUUUGGCACACUUAGAAUUUUGACGCAUAAACUGCGUCACUGCGAAAAGGCUGCACGAAAUGCAUGGGUUCCUGUUUCUUCACAGUGCUGCAAUGACCUUGUAGAAGUAAGCAUCCCUUGCCUCUAUGCUGUUUUCUCCUCCGAUGCUUUCAAGAGAGUUGGUGUUGAUCCCAGAGUCGCAAUCACCAUUCCCCAUCGUUGCCAUUUCUCCAACAAGCCAUAGACCACAACUUACCUACCUACCAUAAAUGCCAACAUAUUUUUCAGGUAUAUAUAUGAGCAUAUAUCUAUCAAGAAUAAUUAUUUAUAUUUCAAAAACUUUAUCCGCAAGCUGAUAAAUUGUUAUAUUUCUAUACUGAACUAAUUAAAUUAAACAUUUAUAUACUCAUCACAUUUUUUGCUGUUAUAAAGUAUACCAUGUGCUCAUUGUUUUUUCUGAUGUAAUUGCAGCUUGUAUAUGGCUGGGAAAGAUGGUUAGGCAACCUGAAGAUUUUACAACGUCAAAGCUUCUGGAUAUACAGUGUGUUGUGUAUUGUAUGUUUUGUUAAUAAUUUGAGCUUGUUAUCAAGGCUCACGAAUAAAUUACCUUGUAAUGUAUAAUUUUAUUCUCUAUCAAAUAACGUUUUCUUAAAAUGUAUCUUUUGGGUUGUUUCAAAUUUAAUUUUAUUUGGAUGGGUUGUUGUAUCGUAGAGAAUAUGAGUGCGUUUGAGUAAACAUUGGAAAAUCUUAAAAUUUAAUUUGUUUGCAAAUGAAUCUCAACCCUAUGUUUGAGUAAACAUUGGUCCAUUAGAUGUGUGCAUUAGAACAAGUAUUAGUGUAUAUUCCACAACAAGUCAAACAUGUACUACAUUCAUUUUCCACAACUCAAACAUAUUUGCACUACAUUGUUGGUUUGCGACUGUGCUGAGGACUUUCUGCAUUGAACUAUUCACCAUAUAGUUUCCUCGGCCUAGCUGCAUAAUCUUGUGCAUAUUAUCAUUCACAGUACGAAAGUUUCUACCGUAUCUCAUAAAUUUAGGGUUUUUGGUAUAGAUAAUUUUUUGUUUUACUAUAAUUUGGUGGACUCUACAAUAUUACAUGAGAUUUAAGAAUUUUAAUAAGUAUUUUCUCUUAUGAUACAAUUUUUAAAAACUCAAAAUUGCAUUUGAUAAUUAUCUAAUUAACAAUUCAAAAAAACUUUGAAGGAUAGUUGUUUAUACAACUAUUUUUUACAUGUCGAUUUUUCAACAAUAAAAGUGUAUAAGAACUUAUUCUUAAGUUUAAGAAUCCUAUAUACAAGGAUAUAUGGCUCUAUGAUCUUAACUUUCCCAUUAAAGAUAACAACUAAGAUAAUAUGACUUCGCUAGCUGCCCAAAAAAAGAAAGAUAACAUCAUGACUUCAUAAAUAACAAAUAAGAUAACAUGAUUUGAUUAAUUACAGAAUAACUAUUUUAUUUUUCUUUUCUUAUAAUAUAUAUAUAUAUAUAUUCUUUCUCUUCCAGGAUCGACUAUCCUGUUAAUUAGCAAAUCUUUUUAGACUUCGACAUCAUGAUGAAGAAGUGGUAAAGUAAAGCGAAAGUAGGUAAAAUUUAGUUCAAAAUUUAGGGGGUAUAAAAAAAGGAAUAUCUUCUCGCUUUAAUAAUUAAUAAUAUAAAUGGAAAAUAAUGUUGCUUGAUACUACUAAAAAAUGUAACUACCAGGAAAAUAUUUUCUUCCCAAGCUUGACUUGAAAAUGGUGAAAAGAUAAUGUUAAUUAAAGUGUUUCACUUCGUCUUGUUUUCUUUGUCUGUUUUUUUUUUUUUUUUUGUCUUCAAGAUGUGGCAAAAGCUAAAUUAUGCCCCUUAUAUAUUAUCUAAAACAUAUCUCAAUCAAUACUUGUUUUUCUAAUGGUAUGGUUAUGGUUGUUGAGAGUUUUAGCAUUUUUUUUAUUAAAGGUUAAAUUUUUAUUUAGACGUUGAGUGUAAAUAAAAAGAAAGGAAAUGGAGAGGAGAAAGGUAGGCUAUAAUUUUUAUUAUUUUUUUGAAAGAAAAAAAUUAAGGAGAAAUUUUUUUUGGGACAUAAAUCUGACUCCCCUUCCCCCCUCCCCCGGGAGAAAAGUUUUUUUUUUCCAUUAUUUUUUGGUUUGUAGUUUCUUAAAUAAAUAACUAAAUAAAAUUUUAUAACAUUAUUUAGAAAAUAUAAUGGAAUAAAAAAAAUUGGAGUUAAGUUUUUUUAAUCAAUAUAAAAAUUAUUUUAACAAUUUUUUUAUUUAUUUCCACAUCCAAACAAUUAAAGAGAAUUUUUUCACUACUUUCCUUCUUAUUUCUAUCACAGCCUUCACCAUCAUUAUCAACAUCUCCACCAUAUUACCCUUCUCCAUCCAUAGCUUGAUAUGUUUGAGUGAUCUAGUAAAAAUAGACGCUUUUAGAUUUUGGUGAUGGUGAGGAGGAUGCUGGUGAUGAUAUUCCAGUUGAGUAGGCCAAACCCUCAUUGAAGAGGAUAAAGAAUUGUAGUAGAUGAGUUGCCAAGACUCUUUUCCAGAAAAAGUCAAGAGGUGUACAACAUUGACAUAUAUAAAUUAAAUUUGUAACUUAUUCAGAUGUCUAUCACUGGAAUUUUUAUGGACAAAGACUUAAGCUAAUAAUUAAAUUUUGCUCUUUUUUUUCUAAGUAGACUAAGCAAAUAUUAAAGAAAAAGAGAAAUUUUGGAAUGAUUUUAACUGGAUCACCAAAGUCUUUUAUGUAGGCUAAGUGUGGAAGCGGAAAGGAAUCUAAUGUGAGACUUGGGUGUAAGACUUUGUGUGUGAUUGAUUUACCAAACCGCCGUUGAAUAAAAAAUUAUAAAUUUUUACUUCUCAUAAAGAACGCAUGAGAAUUUGUGUCCAUUCAAUCCAACAUUAAACUAAAUACACACUUCAACUUCUAUCACCUUUCCAAUCAGUUUUUGGAUUUAUUUGAAUAAUUUUAUUCUCAAACCUAUCAGUUUGGUUCUAUUUUUUAUUUCUGAAACACAACACUUAUAUAUUAGUUUAAUGUUAUGAUUUUUAUGUGCGUAUUAUUUGAAUUUUAUAUAAUUUUCUAGUAUUAUGCAUAUAAAACUUAUAUAAUAUAUAUUAUUUUUUUAGAUAAUUUUUUAAAGAUAUGUUUCAUCUAAAAUUGAGAAAAUUUGAUAAUUUUUAUUAUAGAAUAUUUAGUAUUAAUUAACAAGUUUUGUAUAUUGUUGUCAAUAAUUUUUUAAUAUAAUUUGAUUUAAAAGAUUUAAAAAAGAUAUAUUAAUUUUAAUAGAAUAAUAUUUUAAUAAAAAUCACAAAAAUAAAUUAAACCAAAUAGUAAAAGAUUGAUUUGAUUUGAUUUAAUUGGAAUUUGAUAAUAAAUAUAAAUUGAAUUGCAUAUAAUAUAAUUUUUAUGUUUGAUUUGAAUCAUCUUUGAUUAAAAAAAAAAAUUGAAUCAGACAAUGAGGAAUACCCCUAUACCCCUAAUUUGACUUGUGAGAUAAUCAACCGGCCGGUAGAAGAUAGAAUUUUCAUUUAUCUUAUCUUAUUAAUAAACCAUAGAGCGUCUAUGUAUAGCAUGUCGUGUCACAAGAUAUCAAAGUUGAAAAAUGAAAAUGAAUUCGUUUGUAUAUACUUUAAAAAGCAACAGAAAUUAGGGAGCGUUUGGUUUUUGUUUCCAGACUAGAUAUACAGGCUGUUCAUCUAAUACCAACUACGCAUCAAGACCCUGUAUGUCCUGAUUCAAAAUAUUCCCAGGCUCGGUACUUCUUUGGUAAGAAUCUGCGUGCACAAAACUUCUCCCGAGAAAUUAAAGAAUGCACAAUCCACACGCUUCCUGAACGUGGUUUUGUACUUGGUUGAUUGUUUAUUUUGCCAAUCUGGCAUUAUAUAUAGAGCAUUGUGCUAGCCAAAUUUUGUGAGUUGCAUUCAAAGCCUUAGAAAUUAAUUUUAAUUACGAAGAUGAGCAAGUUCGUGGGGUUGCUUUUGCUGCUUUUGAUCACUGUGGCCAUUGCUGAAUACGAUCACCAUCCUGAACAUGAGAAACAUGGUCCAUGUGGGAAGUUCAGCACACAAAGAAUGUUGACACAUAAGCUUCGCCACUGCGAAAAGGCUGCACGAAGCAUAAGGGCUCCUGUUUCUUCACAAUGCUGCAAAGACCUCGCUAAGGUCAGCAUCCCUUGCUUGCAUGCUGUCUUCUCUUCCGAUGCCUUCAAGAAAGUUGGUGUUGAUCCCAAAAUCGCAAUCACCAUUCCCCAUCGUUGCCAUUUUGCCAAGCCAUAAACCACCAGGUACCUACCUAUCAUAAAUAACUAAAUUAAACAAGUUUGGCUGCUACUAUAUAAAGUAUCAUAUGCUCAUUGUUUUCUCUAAUCUAAUUGCAGCUC